RNAcentral lists this long non-coding RNA (738 nucleotides) under Oncorhynchus mykiss (rainbow trout). Its description in RNAcentral is "lncRNA (ENSOMYG00000072621.1)". Lineage: Eukaryota; Metazoa; Chordata; Actinopteri; Salmoniformes; Salmonidae. The record is from RNAcentral.
AUGAAAGCUGUUAAUGAUGCUGUAGAGGGAAUGUCCAACAUGUUCUAUGAGGCUCAAGAAUGUGCAUUUGCUCCUCAUUUGAGUCUGGACCACAUGAAUGCUGUCAAAGAUGUAAAAGACUUAUUUAUGGACUUCCUCUCUGAUGAUGACGGAAACUUUUACCUGAGCUACGUUGACCCGGUGAUUAUUGGCAGGGGUGUGUUCAAUGUCACCAAUAACUCUAUAUGUGGAGUCGUGGGUUACAUACAAGGCACACUCUGUGUUCUAUUGGAUGCCAUAUUGGAUAUCUUACAGGCCCUUAUCCAUGCACUGAACAUCAAUGCAGAAGACAUAGUGCAUGUUAUCAAGGACUGUACAAGUUCUACUGGAACCUACAUUUGGGACCUGCUGCCAGGUAUCCCUCAAGAAGUGAACAUCGAUCCCAUACUGGUUCUCAGAAGAAUGUUUGGGAUUGUCAUUGAGCAGAAGAACAUGCUUGUGGACUAUGUCUCCAACUUGCUAAUAGGCGAUCAAGGGGUCAUUCCUGAGAUGAACUUUGACCCUAUGAAAGUGGUCACAGAUGCAGUGCUUGAGAUUGCAGAUGGGAAAAACAUGUUCAUGGAUUAUCUGUCCAACAUGCUUAUGGAUGAUAAAGAUGAACCUAGUACUAUACCAGCAUCUGUGAUGCAUGUGAUAAGGAAGAAAGGACAGUUUUUGCCACCCCUGGAAAAAGAAAACCAGUUUACAACCAGAGAAUGA